Molecule: ribosomal RNA, 460 nt
Filed under: uncultured bacterium
Lineage: Bacteria
Description: partial 16S ribosomal RNA
Rfam family: Bacterial small subunit ribosomal RNA
Source: RNAcentral
CCUACGGGUGGCAGCAGUGAGGAAUAUUGGUCAAUGGACGAGAGUCUGAACCAGCCAAGUAGCGUGAAGGAUGACUGCCCUAUGGGUUGUAAACUUCUUUUAUAUGGGAAUAAAAUGUUCCACGUGUGGGUUUUUGUAUGUACCAUAUGAAUAAGGAUCGGCUAACUCCGUGCCAGCAGCCGCGGUAAUACGGAGGAUCCGAGCGUUAUCCGGAUUUAUUGGGUUUAAAGGGAGCGUAGAUGGAUUGUUAAGUCAGUUGUGAAAGUUUGCGGCUCAACCGUAAAAUUGCAGUUGAUACUGGCAGUCUUGAGUACAGUAGAGGUAGGCGGAAUUCGUGGUGUAGCGGUGAAAUGCUUAGAUAUCACGAAGAACUCCGAUUGCGAAGGCAGCUCACUGGACUGCAACUGACACUGAGGCUCGAAAGUGUGGGUAUCAAACAGGAUUAGAUACCCUUGUAGUC